UUACUUGCCUUAGAAAAGGAGAAGGUUUUUAGAGCUCAGGAAAUAUAGGCAGCUAUAGAACUACAAAAAUCUUUUGACUGUUCUAUUGGAAUAUCCUUAAAAUUUUAAAGACUUCUACUCUAAAAUGCUUCCUGAAUAUUCAGAAGUUAAAAUGAGUUGAAUUCUGUUGGUAGUAAAGUGUUUGGGUUACCGUUUGGAUGGAUUUUGAUUGCUAGGUUUAUUUAACCUUGUUACUGGUUUGAAAGAAUUUAUAAGCUAUUUUCCCUUGUUUAUUUUUGGGUCGUCAUUGCUGUUAAUUCCUGUCCUUGUUAUUGCUGGCUGCUGAAUUUCCCGCCUCUUACUCCUUCCUUAUUUCCUUCUUCUUCCAGGUAUAUCUUCAAACUGUAGUGGAAUGAAGUUUUUGAACAAAACUAUGAAAAUCUGGAUUCAAAUUGAAGUUUAAGCUGAAAUACUGGUUUCUGGUGUGUUUGUGACC
This 475-nucleotide long non-coding RNA is filed under the name Nicotiana benthamiana. Its description in RNAcentral is "long non-coding RNA (NBEN_LNC024925)". The record is from RNAcentral. Lineage: Eukaryota; Viridiplantae; Streptophyta; Magnoliopsida; Solanales; Solanaceae.